This 253-nucleotide ribosomal RNA is filed under the name uncultured bacterium. RNAcentral's name for it is "partial 16S ribosomal RNA". It matches the Rfam family "Bacterial small subunit ribosomal RNA", at positions 524 to 776 of the family's 1533-position model. The record is from RNAcentral.
CACGGGGGGAGCAAGCGUUGCUCGGAAUCACUGGGCGUAAAGCGCACGUAGGCGGAUUGCUAAGUCAGGGGUGAAAUCCUGGAGCUCAACUCCAGAACUGCCUUUGAUACUGGCGAUCUUGAGUCCGGGAGAGGUGAGUGGAACUGCGAGUGUAGAGGUGAAAUUCGUAGAUAUUCGCAAGAACACCAGUGGCGAAGGCGGCUCACUGGCCCGGUACUGACGCUGAGGUGCGAAAGCGUGGGGAGCAAACAGG